RNAcentral lists this long non-coding RNA (1332 nucleotides) under Setaria viridis. Its description in RNAcentral is "long non-coding RNA (SVIR_LNC000300)". Lineage: Eukaryota; Viridiplantae; Streptophyta; Magnoliopsida; Poales; Poaceae. The record is from RNAcentral.
CAAACGAUUGCAAAUACAUCCUGAGUAUAUUUACCUCACUUGAGGUGCUACUUUUGUGGUAAUCAUUAAUAUCUUGUUGUCUCCUAAAAAUUUAUGCCAGCUAUAUAUACACCCCUGCUAGCAGCCUAGCAUACUGUUGCUAGAUCAUUAUCAUUUUAGUUAUACUUUUGUGGAGAGAAUUAUGGGUCCUGAGUUUUAUCUUCCUCAGCUUUCCAUUAAAGGUGGCCCAAAAACUGGAGUUUACAUUGAGUACUUAAACCUGAACAUGAAAAUUGUAAAAGUUCAAAAUGCUACUUAGAAGCGGUCUGCAAAGGCUGUGGGGAACUCUGUAAGUCAACCUGAGAUCAUUUACUCCUAAUUCUUGGAUCUUGAUAAGUUAUACAAUAUGCAUUCAAUGUACUGAGCUAUUGCACUAUGUAGACUGUACGUGCUGCUAUUUUGGCAAAUGGAGGUACCUUAGUCUGUCAAGCUUUUGGAAGAGUCGAAGUGGAUAUCCCAGUGGCUAUGAUACUGAAUACUCAAAAUGAUCAUCUUUGCUUUGGUUGUAGCAUACUUAAAAUGAUCAUCUUUGCUUUGGUUGUAGCAUGCCAAUCGAUCCUUCUCUGCCUAAGGUGUACUUGAUCCCUGUUUGCUAUAUGCUUAUCUGCACAUGUUUGCCAUUUUUUUUAACUUGACAAUGCUUUGGGGAUAUCUAUUUUCCUUCUAUGAAACUUGCCAAAGUAACAGUUGGAUGAUAGCAGAUGAGAAGGUCAGCAUUCAUAAUACUCCACUACUUUACUUACAUAUAAAGUUAAUAUGUACUAAAAAGGUUAGGUUGUGAUAUUCCAAACAGCUAGAUAUUGGUAGUACAGAUUACAGACUUGGCCAAGGGCUAUAUUUAGAAGGAAAAAAAAUAUCUGUGGUUUUCCAAUGGCAGUAGCAAUUCUUUUAUCAAUAACAUGAUUGGAAGGUAUGGCAUGGAGCACAAAUAUUGAAUUUCCAGUGAAUUGCUUUUGUGUAGAGCACAAUUGACUCUUGACUGCCCUUACUUUUUACUGAAGUAGCGCUUUUAGCUGGUGCCCUAUCUUUAGUUUAGUUCAGGUGUGCUCUCAUAGACUUUAGCUAGAGAUCAUUGAAGAAGCUUCCCUACCUCCAUCACUUCCUCUUUGUUCAAACACAUAAUGAAAUGUCAUUUAGUAAACCUGAUAGUAAUAAGUGCCUCCUAAUAUGUUAUUUCAUUCUUGUGACAGGUCUGCUGGGAAAACAAAAGUUUCGAUUCAGUUACUUGUGGCUUCUUGCUACCUAGCACAACUUAUAACUUUAUUAGGAAGUAUUGAUGUUGUGAAAUAGUAA